GACGAACGCUGGCGGCGUGCCUAAUACAUGCAAGUCGAGCGAAUCUUUGGGAGCUUGCUCCCAAAGAUUAGCGGCGGACGGGUGAGUAACACGUGGGCAACCUGCCUAUAAGACUGGAUAACUUCGGGAAACCGGAGCUAAUACCGGAUAAUUCAUAUCUACUCAUGUAGAUAUGCUGAAAGACGGUUUCGGCUGUCACUUAUAGAUGGGCCCGAGGCGCAUUAGCUAGUUGGUGAGGUAAUGGCUCACCAAGGCAACGAUGCGUAGCCGACCUGAGAGGGUGAUCGGCCACACUGGGACUGAGACACGGCCCAGACUCCUACGGGAGGCAGCAGUAGGGAAUCUUCCGCAAUGGACGAAAGUCUGACGGAGCAACGCCGCGUGAGUGAUGAAGGUUUUCGGAUCGUAAAACUCUGUUGUUAGGGAAGAAUAAGUACCAGAGUAACUGCUGGUACCUUGACGGUACCUAACCAGAAAGCCACGGCUAACUACGUGCCAGCCGCCGCCGUAA
RNAcentral lists this ribosomal RNA (511 nucleotides) under uncultured bacterium. Its description in RNAcentral is "partial 16S ribosomal RNA". It matches the Rfam family "Bacterial small subunit ribosomal RNA", at positions 28 to 523 of the family's 1533-position model. The record is from RNAcentral.